GAGGAUGUAGUUCAGUGGCAGAAUGUUAGUUUUGUAUGUAAGAGUCCUGGGUCUAAUCCCUAGCAUUGUUU
This 71-nucleotide transfer RNA is filed under the name Cavia porcellus (domestic guinea pig). It matches the Rfam family "tRNA". Rfam says of the family: Transfer RNA (tRNA) molecules are approximately 80 nucleotides in length. Their secondary structure includes four short double-helical elements and three loops (D, anti-codon, and T loops). The record is from Rfam by way of RNAcentral. Lineage: Eukaryota; Metazoa; Chordata; Mammalia; Rodentia; Caviidae.